GCUGGGUGUGGUGGUGCAUGCCUGUAAUCCCAGCAGCUCGGGAGGCUAAGGCAGGAGGAUCACAAGUUCAAAGCCAGCCUCUGCAACUUAGUGAGGCCCUAAGCAACUCAUCAAGACCCUGUCUCUA
Molecule: small RNA, 127 nt
Filed under: Marmota monax (woodchuck)
Lineage: Eukaryota; Metazoa; Chordata; Mammalia; Rodentia; Sciuridae
Source: RNAcentral